CAGCUUUCCAUGGUUGAGUGGGUGCAUCACUGAGCAGGAUAAAGCUGGUGAUUAGUACACUAAAGAGAUUUAGCCAGCGAAUUAUCUGACACAGCUAUGGAAGCAUUGCAAGCAGGGCAUGGAAACUGGUAGGAACGUUGAUAUAAAGCCUGUGUCAGCCCGUAAUAUUUCAACAGUGCUUAGAUGAGCCUGCCAGUAGUGUUUAGGUCUCUGUCAGUCCUCUGUGACCCAGUCCUGAUUCUCAGCUCACUGCAAUCAGGAAAGCAACAGGUGGUGCCGGCGCUCAGUGGCAAGCAAAAAGGGGAGAAGAUGGGGAGAGAAAGGACAGAUUGGAUCCUGAAAAAGUGACCGCAAUAACUGUUCCUCUACGAGAACAUGUACUGUAGAAUGAAGAGGCGAGGCCAGGGGGAUGAUCUGGAGGUGCUGGGCCGGGAAAGACUGCCGAUGAGAGCGGCAGAGAAACUAAAGUGUUUCCCCUGUACGACUGGCGAAGCCCAGGUCACCUGUGAUUGGCCCUUUCAAUGAAGAGUGGGAAACUAAAGUACUGCGUCUCAAUGGUCCUUUCGUAAUUUCAUUGCCUUUAUCCAGACUGACCUUAAAGAAUUGGACAAAUUAAAGAAA
Salmo salar (Atlantic salmon) is the source of this 621-nucleotide non-coding RNA. The record is from RefSeq and is a predicted model, not a curated record. Lineage: Eukaryota; Metazoa; Chordata; Actinopteri; Salmoniformes; Salmonidae.